GUAGGUGAACCUGCGGAAGGAUCAUUACCUGAAACGGUCUCGUAGGAUGCAAAAUAUUAUUAAUUUUUUUUUGCUUCCGAAAAGACUUGAAAGUUUAAAACUCUUAGCCCCAAGAAACUCGUAAUUCUUGGACGGCAGUGAGAAUUAAUUGUUUUAAUUGGUAUUUGCUUUUGCCCUUAACAACGGCGAGAAAGAGUUAAAAUGAACUAAUUAAUUCUCAUUGGUCUCUAACCACUUAAUAUAUUUUAUU
RNAcentral lists this unclassified non-coding RNA (250 nucleotides) under plant metagenome. RNAcentral's name for it is "partial contains small subunit ribosomal RNA, internal transcribed spacer 1, and 5.8S ribosomal RNA". The record is from RNAcentral.